Molecule: long non-coding RNA, 1122 nt
Organism: Poecilia reticulata (guppy)
Lineage: Eukaryota; Metazoa; Chordata; Actinopteri; Cyprinodontiformes; Poeciliidae
Source: RefSeq, a predicted model, not a curated record
GUUUCCGUUGCCGUCGGUUACUGUGGGGCGGAAGCUGCUCCAUUUCCUUCCUCAUUUGAGCUUGAAUGUGUUUGUCGUGAAGUCAACCUACUGGACCAGAGCCGAACACAGAAAGAUGCAGACAAAGCCAGGGCCGGUCCAAAGAUUAAGUGGGCCAGCCAGGGGCCCCGAGAAGGCCUACGCCCUUCACAAGAUUAAUCUCAAGACUUCAUAUUUAUGAUCAGCUCAGCUUGAGGUAGGAGUUCUUGCAACGAUGAUUUUCCUUGGACUCCGCUUCCCUUCCUUCCAAGAACUUGCACAACCUUGAUCGUGGGGCACGGUCUAAUUUUCCUCGUCCCCUUCUCCUCCCCCUCCACCUCGCUCUGAUCGCCCCACCGCACAUCAUUUUCAGCGGCCGCAGCAGAGUCCUGAGAUUCCCCUGCAGUAUUUAGCGGUGGACGCACUGCAACUAGUUUCAGCAGCUCGAUGAAAGCAGCAGCCUUUGAAAGUCGGCUGUCAGUCCGAGCUGCUGCAGCUACGGAAGCAAAGCUGCCUCCGACUUUGGUGAGUGGGUGAUGGUAUGCGUGCAGAAUCACAAUAGUCACCCCUGUUACAUGGUCUGUGGCAGAUCUGAGGUCAGGCGGCUUCUCUAAGGGAAUUUUCUCCUAUAUAUGUGGUGAAGAGGAUACACCGCCUCCUUUUAACUCCAGAUCCUGUGGCAAACGUCAGAAGGAAGGUUACGUUUAUCCUCGCAUUAGCCACAAGCCGUCAAACAAUCGUGGAAAAACGGAUGCCUCUUUAAUUUUUAAAUGAAAGGAAAGCUUGGAAACCUGAAUCCCAGGUUAAGAUGAGUGAGUGACCUUAUUUGGCCGCCCUUCAUGGCAGAAAUCUUUGCGAAUAGCUCUCCUCUUCAUUGAACAUUUAAGCCAUAAAAUCGUGGUUUGUGGUGAUGGCUAACGCUAAUGUCUCAAUGGUCACUCUUUGCUGUGUCAGCAGAGUUUUUAAACGUCUGUAACUGGCUUUGCUCCACUGCUCCAACCUGUCAGAUUCACUCGUGUUGCUUUUCUCAUUUCUUUAUAAACUCGGCAGCUUUCUCAGAGUUGGAGGUGGAAGAUAAUAAAAAAACGUACUUUUUUUUCCCCC